This 119-nucleotide ribosomal RNA is filed under the name Pteropus alecto (black flying fox). The record is from RNAcentral. Lineage: Eukaryota; Metazoa; Chordata; Mammalia; Chiroptera; Pteropodidae.
GUCUACGGCCAUGCCACCCUGGACAGGCCCAAUCUUGUCUGAUCUCAGAAGCUAAGCAGGGGCGGGCCUGGUUAGUACUUGGAUGGGAGACCACCUCAGAAUACCAGGUGCUGUAGAUG